Molecule: ribosomal RNA, 492 nt
Filed under: uncultured bacterium
Lineage: Bacteria
Description: partial 16S ribosomal RNA
Rfam family: Bacterial small subunit ribosomal RNA
Source: RNAcentral
AGUGAACGCUGGCGGUAGGCCUAACACAUGCAAGUCGAACGGCAGCACAGUAAGAGCUUGCUCUUACGGGUGGCGAGUGGCGGACGGGUGAGGAAUACAUCGGAAUCUACUUUUUCGUGGGGGAUAACGUAGGGAAACUUACGCUAAUACCGCAUACGACCUACGGGUGAAAGCAGGGGAUCUUCGGACCUUGCGCGAUUGAAUGAGCCGAUGUCGGGUUAGCUAGUUGGCGGGGUAAAGGCCCACCAAUGCGACGAUCCGUAGCUGGUCUGAGAGGCUGAUCAGCCACACUGGAAGUGAGACACGGUCCAGACUCCUACGGGAGGCAGCAGUGGGGAAUAUUGGACAAUGGGCGCAAGCCUGAUCCAGCCAUACCGCGUGGGUGAAGAAGGCCUUCGGGUUGUAAAGCCCUUUUGUUGGGAAAGAAAAGCAGCAGGUUAAUACCCCGCUGUUCUGACGGUACCCAAAGAAUAAGCACCGGCUAACUUCGUG